CUUUGACUCUGAUUUCAUUUUCUAGGGAAACAAACAAAAGGUAUCACCGAUUGCAAGAAGAAACUGCACAUUAAUUGAUCCAUGAUGAUAUGACCAUGCCACCUUAUCUUAUUCCCAAAUGGUGUGCACGGUUGAUGCAGUAGUGAUUGAUAGCAAGUUCAUGGAGCAAUUUGAUUAUUUGAUGGUAAACAGUAAUUUUGUUGAUUUUCUAUGGCCAUCGGAUCAAGAUCAAAACAGCCAUAUUCAAUCCAAAAUAGCUCAACAUGUACAACUCACUCCCAUGUAGUGACCUCUUAGAUUUUGAGUGAAUUCCAUCACCAGAUCUAUAAAUUAGGAAAUUUGUAUAUUUGGAAAGAUUUUUGAAUACUUGAUUUUAGGAUUUAAACAAAUCCAUUUCAUGUUUUUUUCUAAAAAAGCUUUUUUUAUAUUCUUAGAUUAGAAAUUUGAGCUUUAACUCAAACAUUUUUUUUUUUUUUAAGUUUUCGGCUUUGUUUAAUCUUGGCAUAGUCACCAAACAUUGUUG
Non-coding RNA from Camellia sinensis, 523 nucleotides. NCBI's taxonomy places the organism in Eukaryota, Viridiplantae, Streptophyta, Magnoliopsida, Ericales, Theaceae. The record is from RefSeq and is a predicted model, not a curated record.